This 268-nucleotide long non-coding RNA is filed under the name Vitis vinifera (wine grape). Its description in RNAcentral is "long non-coding RNA (VVIN_LNC000303)". Lineage: Eukaryota; Viridiplantae; Streptophyta; Magnoliopsida; Vitales; Vitaceae. The record is from RNAcentral.
AUAAGAAUAGCCAACUGUUAGUUUAAUAAUAUUUUUAUUUUAAAAAAAUAUCAUUUCCUUAUGCUUCGAUAUAGAAAAAUGAAAAUUUUCAAUAUUUUUGAGAUUUAAGUGUUUUUUGUAGACAUUAAAAUUUUUAGUGAGAUAAAUUAUCAUUAAAUUGGUCUCAUAAGAAAAAUGUGAUCCCAAUUCAACAAAAUCUAGGAUGCAUAAGUAAUAUGUCCUACACACAUUUGGCAUGUGAAAGAAUUAAGAAAAUAUUUUGUUAGCU